UGAUUGAUGGUGCUUGCACCUGAUUGACGAUGGAUCACCAGUGAGUGGCGGACGGGUGAGUAACACGUAGGUAACCUGCCCCGGAGCGGGGGAUAACAUUUGGAAACAGAUGCUAAUACCGCAUAACAACAAAAGCCACAUGGCUUUUGUUUGAAAGAUGGCUUUGGCUAUCACUCUGGGAUGGACCUGCGGUGCAUUAGCUAGUUGGUAAGGUAACGGCUUACCAAGGCGAUGAUGCAUAGCCGAGUUGAGAGACUGAUCGGCCACAAUGGAACUGAGACACGGUCCAUACUCCUACGGGAGGCAGCAGUAGGGAAUCUUCCACAAUGGGCGCAAGCCUGAUGGAGCAACACCGCGUGAGUGAAGAAGGGUUUCGGCUCGUAAAGCUCUGUUGUUGGAGAAGAACGUGCGUGAGAGUAACUGUUCACGCAGUGACGGUAUCCAACCAGAAAGUCACGGCUAACUACGUGCCAGCAGCCGCGGUAAUACGUAGGUGGCAAGCGUUAUCCGGAUUUAUUGGGCGUAAAGCGAGCGCAGGCGGUUGCUUAGGUCUGAUGUGAAAGCCUUCGGCUUAACCGAAGAAGUGCAUCGGAAACCGGGCGACUUGAGUGCAGAAGAGGACAGUGGAACUCCAUGUGUAGCGGUGGAAUGCGUAGAUAUAUGGAAGAACACCAGUGGCGAAGGCGGCUGUCUGGUCUGCAACUGACGCUGAGGCUCGAAAGCAUGGGUAGCGAACAGGAUUAGAUACCCUGGUAGUCCAUGCCGUAAACGAUGAGUGCUAGGUGUUGGAGGGUUUCCGCCCUUCAGUGCCGGAGCUAACGCAUUAAGCACUCCGCCUGGGGAGUACGACCGCAAGGUUGAAACUCAAAGGAGUUGACGGGGGCCCGCACAAACGGUGGAGCAUGUGGUUUAAUUCGAAGCUACGCGAAGAACCUCCCCAGGUCUUGACAUCUUGCGCUAACCUUAGAGAUAAGGCGUUCCCUUCGGGGACGCAAUGACAGGUGGUGCAUGGUCGUCGUCAGCUCGUGUCGUGAGAUGUUGGGUUAAGUCCCGCAACGAGCGCAACCCUUGUUACUAGUUGCCAGCAUUAAGUUGGGCACUCUAGUGAGACUGCCGGUGACAAACCGGAGGAAGGUGGGGACGACGUCAGAUCAUCAUGCCCCUUAUGACCUGGGCUACACACGUGCUACAAUGGACGGUACAACGAGUCGCAAGCUCGCGAGAGUAAGCUAAUCUCUUAAAGCCGUUCUCAGUUCGGACUGUAGGCUGCAACUCGCCUACACGAAGUCGGAAUCGCUAGUAAUCGCGGAUCAGCAUGCCGCGGUGAAUACGUUCCCGGGCCUUGUACACACCGCCCGUCACACCA
This 1366-nucleotide ribosomal RNA is filed under the name Limosilactobacillus reuteri. Its description in RNAcentral is "bacterial SSU rRNA". It matches the Rfam family "Bacterial small subunit ribosomal RNA", at positions 64 to 1404 of the family's 1533-position model. The record is from RNAcentral. Lineage: Bacteria; Bacillati; Bacillota; Bacilli; Lactobacillales; Lactobacillaceae.